GAUGAACGCUGGCGGCGUGCUUAACACAUGCAAGUCGAACGGAAAGGCUCCUCCUUGCAGGGGUUCUCGAGUGGCGAACGUGUGAGUAACACGUGGGUGUUCUGCCCUGCACUUCGUGAUAUGCCUGGGAAACUGGGUCUAAUACCGGAUAGCACGAUGGUUUGGAUGCCAUUGUGGAAAGUUUUGUCGGUGUGGGAUGGGCUCGCGGCUUAUCCGCUUGUUUGGGGUGUAAUGGCCAACCAAGGCGUCGCCGGGUCGCCCACAUGAGGGGGUACACUGGCACAUUGGGACUAAGAGACGGCGCAGACGCGUACGGGAGGCAGCAGGGGGGAAUAUUGCACAAUGGGCGCAAGUGUGAUGCAGCGACGUUGCGUGGGGGAUGACGGCCUUCGGGUGGUAAAGUCCAGUCGCUAGAGACGAAGCUCAAGUGACGGUACCUGGAGAAGAAGCACCGGCUAACUACGUG
RNAcentral lists this ribosomal RNA (466 nucleotides) under uncultured bacterium. RNAcentral's name for it is "partial 16S ribosomal RNA". It matches the Rfam family "Bacterial small subunit ribosomal RNA", at positions 28 to 507 of the family's 1533-position model. The record is from RNAcentral.